AUUCAAGAUCCUUCCGGACAAAAUAUGGAUGAGAACAUUCAAAAAAAUAUCCACUAUCUUCUCUAGAAUCGUUUCUUUCCUAAGUCUUACGAUGACUCAAAAAUGUGAGCCAUAUUUUUAAUUUCUUAAACUAUGGCAACAUUUUGUUGAUGCUAGAACGCUCAAAACAUUUAACAAUUAGCACGAUCUUCUAUCGUUUAUCUAGCAUUUUAGGAACUUCAGUCUGAGUUGCUGGUAGUGACAAUGUGGAAAUGGAUACUAGACCUCAUUUCACAGCUAUUUCAAAGGAUCCACACCUGAAAGUAUAACAACUAGUAGCAAAAUUUAAAAGCCAUUAUUGGCAUUUUAGAUCUCAUUUACAUUCAUCUUACUCGAGUCACUAAAAAAAUAUAUAUUGAUCAUUUUUUUUUUUCCUAUGCAGGGGACGUGCCACAAACUAAUUUUAAGUAAAGAAGGUUUGAUAAUCUAUGACAUAACCAACCCUGUUACAAUUGGGAGACAAAAUAUUUUUUGCAGCCUUUAUAUAGAUUUUGUAGCUUCUGGCCUAUAUGUCACUACAAGAUCGUUUGGAGGACAUUGAAAGGGCUUUUGCUUUGCACAAAUCUUGUAGAUAUUGCAAAUGGUUUGCAGCCUCAAUGUGGAACUGAUAGCUUUGAGUCCUGCACGUAAUUUUAUGCUGAGUUAUUUUGAAAUAAUCUUUUGUUAACAUAAUCUGCAUAUCCAGAAUGCAAACACUGACCGGUUAGCAGCCUCUGCAAACUCCAUUCCAGAUGAUGGGGUAACAUCGUUCGCUACCUCAACCUUAUCCUAAGCUAAUCCCCUAAGCAUAAUCUAUUCCUCCAUAUUAACCCAACAUAAUUAUCAAAACCAACACCUACUAUGAUAACAAUUACCUUUUUUAUUACCUUAAUUAUAAUUAGCCUAAACGGGCUCUCAGGGUUCAACCCAUCUAACUUAGAUCUAAUCAACUUAACCCAUCAAAUGUG
RNAcentral lists this long non-coding RNA (986 nucleotides) under Elaeis guineensis (African oil palm). RNAcentral describes it as "long non-coding RNA (EGUI_LNC010576)". The record is from RNAcentral. Lineage: Eukaryota; Viridiplantae; Streptophyta; Magnoliopsida; Arecales; Arecaceae.